GAUGAACGCUGGCGGCGUGCCUAAUACAUGCAAGUCGAGCGAACGGACGAGAAGCUUGCUUCUCUGAUGUUAGCGGCGGACGGGUGAGUAACACGUGGAUAACCUACCUAUAAGACUGGGAUAACUUCGGGAAACCGUAGCUAAUACCGGAUAAUAUUUUGAACCGCAUGGUUCAAAAGUGAAAGACGGUCUUGCUGUCACUUAUAGAUGGAUCCGCGCUGCAUUAGCUAGUUGGUAAGGUAACGGCUUACCAAGGCAACGAUGCAUAGCCGACCUGAGAGGGUGAUCGGCCACACUGGAACUGAGACACGGUCCAGACUCCUACGGGAGGCAGCAGUAGGGAAUCUUCCGCAAAGGGCGAAAGCCUGACGGAGCAACGCCGCGUGAGUGAUGAGGGUCUUCGGAUCGUAAAACUCUGUUAUUAGGGAAGAACAUAUGUGUAAGUAACUGUGCACAUCUUGACGGUACCUAAUCAGAAAGCCACGGCUAACUACGUG
This 497-nucleotide ribosomal RNA is filed under the name uncultured bacterium. Its description in RNAcentral is "partial 16S ribosomal RNA". It matches the Rfam family "Bacterial small subunit ribosomal RNA", at positions 28 to 507 of the family's 1533-position model. The record is from RNAcentral.